Molecule: ribosomal RNA, 541 nt
Filed under: uncultured archaeon
Lineage: Archaea
Description: bacterial SSU rRNA
Rfam family: Archaeal small subunit ribosomal RNA
Source: RNAcentral
CAGCAGCCGCGGUAACACCGGCGGCCCGAGUGGUGGCCACUAUUAUUGGGUCUAAAGGGUCCGUAGCCGGUUUGGUCAGUCUUCCGGGAAAUCUGACGGCUCAACCGUUAGGCUUUCGGGGGAUACUACCAGGCUUGGGACCGGGAGAGGUAAGAGGUACUACGGGGGUAGGAGUGAAAUCUUGUAAUCCCUGUGGGACCACCAGUGGCGAAGGCGUCUUACCAGAACGGGUCCGACGGUGAGGGACGAAAGCUGGGGGCACGAACCGGAUUAGAUACCCGGGUAGUCCCAGCUGUAAACUAUGCUCGCUAGGUGUCAGGGACGGUGCGACCGUUUCUGGUGCCGCAGGGAAGCCGUGAAGCGAGCCACCUGGGAAGUACGGUCGCAAGGCUGAAACUUAAAGGAAUUGGCGGGGGAGCACUACAACGGGUGGAGCCUGCGGUUUAAUUGGACUCAACGCCGGAAAACUCACCGGGGGCGACAGCAAUAUGUAGGUCAAGCUAAAGACUUUACCAGAAUCGCUGAGAGGAGGUGCAUGGCC